Molecule: ribosomal RNA, 2950 nt
Filed under: Orenia marismortui DSM 5156
Lineage: Bacteria; Bacillati; Bacillota; Clostridia; Halanaerobiales; Halobacteroidaceae
Description: bacterial LSU rRNA
Rfam family: Bacterial large subunit ribosomal RNA
Source: RNAcentral
AGGGCGCAUGGUGGAUGCCUUGGUGUUAGAAGCCGAUGAAGGACGUGGUAAGCUGCGAUAAGCCUUGAUGAGUUGCACGCAAACUUUGAUUCAAGGAUUUCCGAAUGGAUAAUCUGGUAGGUUAAUAACCUAUCAUCUUAGAGUUAAUUCAUAGCUCUAAGAAGGGAACUGGGUGAACUGAAACAUCUUAGUAACCCAAGGAAAGGAAAGCAAAAGCGAUUCUCUAAGUAGCGGCGAGCGAACAGGGAACAGCCCAAACUGUAAUAGUGUCAAAUUUAUGGAUCUUGCUAUUACAGGGUUGUAGGACUAUUAGAUGUCGCCAUAACGACAUCAUAGUAUUGCUUUUAUUUAAUUGAAGUAGCUGGAAAGCUACACCACAGAAGGUAAUAGUCCUGUAAAUGAAAAAUAAAAGUAGACUAGAUAGUAUCCUGAGUACCAUGAGUCACGAGAAACCUCGUGGGAAGCAAGGAGGACCAUCUCCUAAGGCUAAAUACUUUCUAACGACCGAUAGUGAACUAGUACCGUGAGGGAAAGGUGAAAAGAACCCCGGAAGGGGAGUGAAAUAGAAUCUGAAACCAUGUGCCUACAAGCAGUCAGAGGACGUAUAUUAUCAGUCUGAUGGCGUGCUUUUUGCAUAACGAACCGGCGAGUUAUGAUAUGUAGCGUUUAGGUUAAGCUUUGAAUGUGAAGCCGUAGCGAAAGCGAGUCUUAAAAGGCGUUAGUUAUAUGUCAUAGACCCGAAACCGAGUGAUCUAUCCAUGGUCAGGGUGAAGCACGUGUAAGAACGUGUGGAGGCCCGAACUACAUUGACGUUGAAAAGUCAUGGGAUGAACUGUGGAUAGGGGUGAAAGGCCAAUCGAACUCGGAGAUAGCUGGUUCUCCCCGAAAUAGCUUUAGGGCUAGCCUUAAGUGAAUGCCCUUUGGCGGUAGAGCACUGAUUGGACUAGGGGCUUUAUUAAGUUACCGAAUCCAGUCAAACUCCGAACGCUGAAGUGGUUUAUCUUAGGAGUCAGACUAUGUGGGAUAAGCUUCAUAGUCGAGAGGGAAACAACCCAGAUCGUCAGUUAAGGUCCCAAAGUAUGGACUAAGUGGCAAAGGAUGUGAGAUUGCAUAGACAACCAGGAUGUUGGCUUAGAAGCAGCCAUUCAUUUAAAGAGUGCGUAAUAGCUCACUGGUCGAGUGGUCUUGCGCCGAAAAUGUCCGGGGCUUAAGUCCAUCACCGAAACUACGGAUUGUUUUUACAGUGGUAGGGGAGCUUUCUAUUUGGAUUGAAGCAGUACCGUAAGGAGCUGUGGACUGUAUAGAAGUGAUAAUGCCGGUAUGAGUAACGAUAAGAUAGGUGAGAAUCCUAUCCGCCGAAAGUCUAAGGUUUCCUGAGGAAGGCUCGUCCGCUCAGGGUAAGCCGGGACCUAAGCCGAGGCCGAAAGGCGUAGGCGAUGGAUAAUUGGUUAAAAUUCCAAUGCCACCUCCUUACCAUUAUGAGUGAUGGGGGGACGCAGGAGGAUAUGUUAGCCUGACAACGGUUUGUCAGGUCGAAGCACCUAGGAGGAUAGUUUAGGUAAAUCCGAACUAUCUUAACUCUAAAGUGUGAUCGGGAGCUUCUAAGGAAGCGAAGUAAUUGAUUCCACACUGCCAAGAAAAUCCUCUAGCCAGGUAAGUGGUGCCCGUACCGUAAACUGACACAAGUAGACGAGAUGAGAAUUCUAAGGCGCGCGAGAGAACCUUCGUUAAGGAACUCGGCAAAAUUGCCCCGUAACUUCGGGAGAAGGGGUGCCUCAUUAGGGUGUAUGCCCAAAGAGGUUGCAGUGAAUAGGCCCAAGCGACUGUUUACCAAAAACACAGGUCUCUGCUAAGACGUAAGUCGAUGUAUAGGGGCUGACGCCUGCCCGGUGCUGGAAGGUCAAGGGGAAAUGUUAGGAUUAUUCCAAAGCAUUGAACUUAAGCCCCAGUAAACGGCGGCCGUAACUAUAACGGUCCUAAGGUAGCGAAAUUCCUUGUCGGGUAAGUUCCGACCUGCACGAAUGGCGCAACGACUUGGGCACUGUCUCAACGAAGGACUCGGUGAAAUUGUAGUACCUGUGAAGAUGCAGGUUACCCGCGACAGGACGGAAAGACCCCGUGGAGCUUUACUGUAGUCUGAUAUUGAAUUUUGGUCCAAUAUGUACAGCAUAAGUGGGAGGCUUUGAAGUCGGUACGCUAGUAUCGGUGGAGCCAAAGGUGGGAUACCACUCUUAUUGUGCUGGAAUUCUAACCAUGUGCUGUUAUCCAGUGCUGGGACAGUUUCAGAUGGGCAGUUUGACUGGGGCGGUCGACUCCUAAAGAGUAACGGAGUCGCCCAAAGGUUCCCUCAGUGCGGUCGGAAAUCGCACGAAGAGUGUAAAGGCAGAAGGGAGCUUGACUGCGAGACAUACAGGUCGAGCAGGGACGAAAGUCGGGCUUAGUGAUCCGACGGUAGAGAAUGGAAUUGCCGUCGCUCAACGGAUAAAAGUUACCCCGGGGAUAACAGGCUUAUCUCCCCCAAGAGUUCACAUCGACGGGGAGGUUUGGCACCUCGAUGUCGGCUCGUCGCAUCCUGGAGCUGAAGCAGGUUCCAAGGGUUGGGCUGUUCGCCCAUUAAAGCGGUACGCGAGCUGGGUUCAGAACGUCGUGAGACAGUUCGGUCCCUAUCCGUCGUGGGCGUAGGAUAUUUGAAGGGAUCUAUCCCUAGUACGAGAGGACCGGGAUGGACGUACCUCUGGUGUACCAGUUGUCUUCCAAAGGCAUUGCUGGGUAGCUACGUACGGAUCAGAUAAACGCUGAAAGCAUCUAAGCGUGAAACUGACCUUAAGAUGAGAUAUCCCAUAGAGUCAAUCUAGUAAGAUCCCUGAUAGACUAUCAGGUUGAUAGGUCGGAGGUGUAAGGAUAGUAAUAUCUUUAGCUGACCGAUACUAAUAGAUCGAGGACUUAAUCU